AGUCAAUAGAUACCCAGGUAGUCCAUGCCGUAAACGAUGAUUGCUAGGUGUGGGGGGGUCUGACCCCUUCCGUGCCGGAGUUAAACACAAUAAGCAAUCCACCUGGGGAGUACGGCCGCAAGGUUGAAACUCAAAGGAAUUGACGGGGGGCCCGCACAAGCAGUGGAGUAUGUGGUUUAAAUUCGAAGCAACGCGAAGAACCUUACCAGGUCUUGACAUCCACCGAAUCCUGUAGAGAUACGGGAGUGCCCUUCGGGGAACGGUGAGACAGGUGGUGCAUGGUUGUCGUCAGCUCGUGUCGUGAGAUGUUGGGUUAAGUCCCGCAACGAGCGCAACCCUUGUGAAUAGUUGCUACGAAAGAGCACUCUAUUCAGACCGCCGUUGACAAAACGGAGGAAGGUGGGGAUGACGUCAAAUCAUCAUGCCCCUUAUGACCUGGGCUACACACGUACUACAAUGGCCGUUAACAGAGGGAUGCAAUACCGCGAGGUGGAGCGAACCCCUAAAAACGGUCUCAGUUCAGAUUGCAGGCUGAAACUCG
Molecule: ribosomal RNA, 541 nt
Filed under: uncultured bacterium
Lineage: Bacteria
Description: bacterial SSU rRNA
Rfam family: Bacterial small subunit ribosomal RNA
Source: RNAcentral